Molecule: ribosomal RNA, 456 nt
Filed under: uncultured Lachnospiraceae bacterium
Lineage: Bacteria; Bacillati; Bacillota; Clostridia; Lachnospirales; Lachnospiraceae
Description: bacterial SSU rRNA
Rfam family: Bacterial small subunit ribosomal RNA
Source: RNAcentral
AAGUUACCGAACGGAACCCGUACUAUUGGUAAACCUAAGUGAUAUAUGGGUUAGGUGGUCGGACGGGGUGAGUAACGACGUCGGGCGAACCUGCCUUACACAGGGGGAUAACAACUUAGAAAUAGGUAGCUAAAACCGACAUAAGCGCACAGCUUCGCAUGAAGCGGUGUGAAAAACUCCGGUGGUGUAAGAUGGACCCGCGUCUGAUUAGCUUGUUGGCGGGGUAACGGCCCACCAAGGCGACGAUCAGUAGCCGGCCUGAGAGGACGGACGGCCACAUUGGGACUGAGACACGGCCCAGACUCCUACGGGAGGCAGCAGUGGGGAAUAUUGCACAAUGGGGGAAACCCUGAUGCAGCGACGCCGCGUGAGUGAAGAAGUAAUUCGUUACGUAAAGCUCUAUCAGCAGGGAAGAAAAUGACGGUACCUGAGUAAGAAGCCCCGGCUAACUACGUG